This 80-nucleotide transfer RNA is filed under the name Phaeocystis antarctica. Its description in RNAcentral is "tRNA-Leu". It matches the Rfam family "tRNA". Rfam says of the family: Transfer RNA (tRNA) molecules are approximately 80 nucleotides in length. Their secondary structure includes four short double-helical elements and three loops (D, anti-codon, and T loops). Lineage: Eukaryota; Haptophyta; Phaeocystales; Phaeocystaceae. The record is from RNAcentral.
AAUAGCGUGAUGGAAUUGGUAGACAUGCUUGUUUUAGAAACAAGUUUUAAGAAGUAAAGGUUCAAGUCCUUUCGUUAUCA